This 72-nucleotide transfer RNA is filed under the name Ornithorhynchus anatinus (platypus). It matches the Rfam family "tRNA". Rfam says of the family: Transfer RNA (tRNA) molecules are approximately 80 nucleotides in length. Their secondary structure includes four short double-helical elements and three loops (D, anti-codon, and T loops). Lineage: Eukaryota; Metazoa; Chordata; Mammalia; Monotremata; Ornithorhynchidae. The record is from Rfam by way of RNAcentral.
GACAGCGUGGCUCAGUGGAAAGAGCCUGGGCUUUGGAGUCAGAGGUCAUGGGUUCGACUCCCGACUCUGCCA